Long non-coding RNA from Pongo pygmaeus (Bornean orangutan), 1170 nucleotides. RefSeq lists it as uncharacterized. The record is from RefSeq and is a predicted model, not a curated record. NCBI's taxonomy places the organism in Eukaryota, Metazoa, Chordata, Mammalia, Primates, Hominidae. The transcript has 4 exons.
CUGAGGAGCAGGUGAAGUCAGCACCUUGGAUAGCUCUGUCACACGGGGAAGGCCAGGCCUUGAGCAAGGCCCCCUGGCUUCAGCUCCUAACAGCUUCCACUCCUGCAAGUGUGCAGCUUUGGGUCAGAGCCCCGCGACCCCACAGCCCACCCAGAAGACGUCCUCGUGGCACGGCUGUCCCAUUGCACUUUGCCAAGUGUUGGCUGGAAGGUGGUGGGAGAGGAGUGACAGUUUGAUGAAGAAUGAAUGAAUUACUUAAUUAAGGCACAGGAUGUCUCUGGGGAAAGAACAUCUCGAUGCUGAGGGAGGAGGCUUUUUCGAUUGCCGCACUGCAAGGCACUCAGCAGCAAUGGAAGCCCCCGGUGCUGGGCCACAGCUGUGCCAUCACACCCCUGGCCCCGGGGCUGACCCUUUGCUGACAUCAGCUCACCCAGUGCCAGCUCAGCUUCCCUGCAAUGCCCUUGAUAUUUACAAGAGCUCUGUCUCCUGUGCCGCUCCCCAGGAGGGGCGUCCUGUCUUGGGCCAGCAUGACCGCCGUCUCCCUGCUGCGGAAGGGGAGGGCCCCCUUUCUGUGGGCCUUUGUCUGUCAAAUGACGGGAACCUGUCCCGAGGGGUCCAGGCUGUGUGGCCUCUGCCCAGACUACUGACCCAAGCUGGUGCCGACGAGCCUGCAAAGGCCAGCAGCUCCCACGCAGGGGCUUGUGUACUCUCAGGGUGGGGAACCGCACCUCAUACCUCCGCUCCUGGGCUCCCCCUGACCUCAACACCCCCACUCUGGUGUGGGAAAGCAGUGAGGAGGGAGGGGCAUGCCUGGGCCCCCCCGACCUUGACACCGCUACCCCCAACCCCGCUGUGGGAAAGCAGUGAGGAGGGAGGGACAUGCCUGGGCCCCCCCCGACCUUGGCACCCCCACCCCCAACCCCGCUGUGGGAAAGCAGUGAGGAGGGAGAGGCACGCUUGGGCCCCCCCCGACCUUGGCACCCCCACCCUGGUGUGGGAAAGCACUGAGGAGGGAGGGGCAUGCCUGGGCACCCCCAGCUUCCUCCGCAGCAGGGACUGGGCAGCCGUCAUGGGAAGUUCCCUUUGUCUGGCUGCUUUGAACUCUUUUCCAAGGAAAACCUAUUCAUGUUUUGCCCACGGAAUUAAAAAAUCAUUAAAAGAAAAGUGUAC